AUCCUCACUUCCGCAGCACAAACACUAAAAUUGGAAUGAUACAGAGAAGAUUAGCAUGGCCCUUGCACAAGGAUGAUAUGCAAAUUUGUGAAGCGUUCUAUAUUUUG
Monodelphis domestica (gray short-tailed opossum) is the source of this 107-nucleotide small nuclear RNA. The record is from Ensembl. Lineage: Eukaryota; Metazoa; Chordata; Mammalia; Didelphimorphia; Didelphidae.